CUACCCUAGAAUCUGGAAUAACCUGCCGAAAGGCGGGCUAAUACUGGAUAGAGCGAUGAAAUCCGUAAUUGGGUUUUUCGGAAAAGGGAGCUCGCAAGAGCCUUCGUUUUAGGAUGAGUCUAUAUCUCAUUAGCUAGUUGGUAAGGUAAUGGCUUACCAAGGCUUUGAUGGGUAGCUGGUCUGAGAGGAUGAUCAGCCACACUGGAACUGAAACACGGUCCAG
Molecule: ribosomal RNA, 223 nt
Filed under: uncultured bacterium
Lineage: Bacteria
Description: partial 16S ribosomal RNA
Rfam family: Bacterial small subunit ribosomal RNA
Source: RNAcentral